GAUGAACGCUGGCGGCGUGCCUAACACAUGCAAGUCGAGCGAUUUACUUCGGUAAAGAGCGGCGGACGGGUGAGUAACGCGUGGGUAACCUGCCCUGUACACACGGAUAACAUACCGAAAGGUAUGCUAAUACGAGAUAAUAUGCCUUUAUCGCAUGGUAGAAGUAUCAAAGCUUUUGCGGUACAGGAUGGACCCGCGUCUGAUUAGCUAGUUGGUGAGGUAACGGCUCACCAAGGCGACGAUCAGUAGCCGACCUGAGAGGGUGAUCGGCCACAUUGGAACUGAGACACGGUCCAAACUCCUACGGGAGGCAGCAGUGGGGAAUAUUGCACAAUGGGCGAAAGCCUGAUGCAGCAACGCCGCGUGAGCGAUGAAGGCCUUCGGGUCGUAAAGCUCUGUCCUCAAGGAAGAUAAUGACGGUACUUGAGGAGGAAGCCCCGGCUAACUACGUG
RNAcentral lists this ribosomal RNA (452 nucleotides) under uncultured bacterium. RNAcentral describes it as "partial 16S ribosomal RNA". It matches the Rfam family "Bacterial small subunit ribosomal RNA", at positions 28 to 507 of the family's 1533-position model. The record is from RNAcentral.